This is a non-coding RNA of Peromyscus maniculatus bairdii (prairie deer mouse), 1730 nucleotides long. NCBI's taxonomy places the organism in Eukaryota, Metazoa, Chordata, Mammalia, Rodentia, Cricetidae. The record is from RefSeq and is a predicted model, not a curated record.
GGCUGUGCAGGAUUUUCCAGGCAAAGAGGACAUUGGGAAGAAGAAGGAUGAAGUCUGAGGAGUCUUGAGCCAGACGAAGAGGAAGCACGAUGUGUAGAAAAUGAGGGACUAAUUCAGGGCCAGCAGAGGCGUUCUCCAGUAAGAAGACAGAGUGCUUAGUCUCAGUGGGAAGAUAGAACCGGACAAGCUAUUAAGACACAAAGAUGAUGCUGGUGAGGAGCGCAGUCAGCCAUGUCUGAAGACUCAUGGAGACAAAACCAAGUUUGGAAGUGCAAAGUACCGUAAAUGUUGUCAGUCUUCUGUGAUAGAUACUUUUAUUGUGGCACCAAUUAGAAGCCAAACUCCCAAGGAACAAGAACCACCCCUGCUUCUCUAGAGCCUCAACAUGGCAUCCAAGUGACUCCCUUUUCCUUUGAGAGCUAAGCCUAGGGAUGGCAUGAUACUUGGCUUCCACGUGGGUUGGGAACAAUUUCCAAUCCCAUCACCGUAUAGUCCAUGAUUGAUGUGAAAGUGGAAACCUAACCCAAAGCUCUGAAGACUUCGAUAGCCUUCUUCCACUCCUUAAGGUUUCUCAGGGAGAGCUCAGUCCCCAGGGAUGGUGCUUGGAGCUAAGAAAUGUCUCCACAAUCUUUUACAAUUAGAAUUUUUUUUCUGUGUUUCCAGAGAGGUGCUUUAACCAGCUAAGCUGCGGAGCCUGAUGCAAUGCUCAUCAUUUCAUUGUAUAGACAUGUUCAUCAGGUCAUUGCAUAGAAGAAAAAAGAAAUAAAACAUGUAGAGAGAUAUAAUUAAGCAAAAGACUAAAGAUUAAAACUUAUAACUUUCAUGCACUAAUCUAGUUUAAAUUUCCUAAGUAGGAAAAUUCAUUUUGUUAGACUGUAUUUUCCAGUGGUCUGUGCUUUUAGAUCAGUAUGAAUACCUCUUUCUCACUGUCCUCUAUCUCAAGAAUGAAGGAUUAUUUGGAAAGCCCUCACCCCGCCAGGGCUCUUUAUCAACCAACCAAUGAGAAUCAGGCCACAAGGAAGAUAGUCAACCACAGCCAAUCUUCUGUCUGCUCUUUCCUGAAUACGGCUCCAAGGACUCCAAGUCUGUUACAAAUACACAGGGUGUUUUGUAGUUGCUAGGGGGCUUAAAUUUUAUGCUCGCUUUUUAUAAAGGUAGAGGACAAAGGUCUGAUCUACUCUCCGUUCAUCAUCAAAUACUCUGGUUAUUUGUGGUAUAAGAACUCAUAUUCACUAUAGAAAGUUCAUUGGAGUGUCUAUAUGGAGUUCCAAAAAUACCACUAACAAUCCAUCUGUUUUCACUACACAUCUAUGAGAAUAGUUUUUAAAAAGUACUGACAGUACCAGAGUUGGUAAGGAUGCAGAAAAAUGUAUUCCUCAUAAAUUAUUGUUCAGAAUGUAAAACAGGACAGCCAUUUCAGAAGUUUGGUAGUGUCCAAGAAAAAUCAAACAUGCAUUUAAAAACCAUGACCCAGCAAUCACACUUCUGGAUUUUUAUGCCAUAUAUAAAAAUUUAUGUUCAACCAAAAGCUUGUAGAUAAUGUUCAUAAUGGUUUUAUCAGAGUCCCAAACUGAAAUAGCUUAUUCCCAAAUGCUCUUCAUGAGAGAAGGAUGAACACACCUUUAUAAUCCAUACCAUAAAAUAUUAUUCAACUGUAAAGGAGAACAAGCUGCUGAUAUACAUGAAUGGAUCUCAAGUUGUUGAAAUAAAAGAGCAAAUCCAAACCAAAA